Long non-coding RNA from Malus domestica (apple), 832 nucleotides. RefSeq lists it as uncharacterized. The record is from RefSeq and is a predicted model, not a curated record. Lineage: Eukaryota; Viridiplantae; Streptophyta; Magnoliopsida; Rosales; Rosaceae.
GGUAAUGCCCUCGGGUUUUCCUAGCUUUGCCCUCAUGUGUGCAGUCAAUUGCCGGUUUUACCCAUUGAUCCCAAGGGUUCUGUGUCGUUUCUUUCUCUCUUUCCAUUCAUCUCUUUCACUUUACCUUUCAGCUCUCCAUUUUCUGCUUUCCUCAACUGGGUUUUCCUUCGUCGUCGGUGUGCACUCUGAUUUCUCUCAAUUUAUUCCUUUUCGUUUUGCGAAAUUAUGUCCGGCGAGACAUGAUCUUUGAUUUUUGCAACCAUUGUUGGCCGUUCUUCUCUGUUUUUGGCUGCCAUCCGUACUUUGGAUCGAUUUCGUCUUUUUCACCGUUUUGUUUCAAGCCUCUCUUUUGAGAGAAUUUUUACGUAUUAAGGGGAUUCAGGUUUUUAUUUUUUUUGGAACUUUUGUAUGCAGCUUUGGAAGACAUUUAUGCUUAAUGGAGAGCAAGUAAAAAGAUUGUAUUCACUGUGUUGACGCAUUAUUGAACAAGAGACCCAAAAGGAAGAACAUAUUCAAUCUCAAAGUCUGUCAGCUUUCACUUCUUAAUUUUAUUAUUAUUAAUUUUGUUUGCUCUUCGAAAUUUGAAUGCAUGAGUUUUUUAAUUUUUUUGCGAUUAGUUUCCCUGAGAUGGGUUUUGGGUAAUCAUUUAUUACUUUCUGAUUUGGUUACAGGAUGCGAAUCAUUGCUUCUUUAGAAAAGAUUAAGGAAGGUGAGCAAUUUCAGAAAAAAAAUGCGAUUAUCAUUUUCUAGAGAUCAUGGCAUGCCCUUCCGUUAUUUUUUGGUGGUUGUAAAAUUAUGACCUGACAGGGAAGUUGGUUUUGACAAGAUUUUU